UACGGAGGGUGCGAGCGUUAAUCGGAAUAACUGGGCGUAAAGGGCACGCAGGCGGGCUUUUAAGUGAGGUGUGAAAUCCCCGGGCUUAACCUGGGAAUAGCAUUUCAGACUGGGAGUCUAGAGUACUUUAGGGAGGGGUAGAAUUCCACGUGUAGCGGUGAAAUGCGUAGAGAUUUGGAGGAACACCGAAGGCGAAGGCAGCCGCUUGGGAAUGUACUGACGCUGAUGCGCGAAAGCGUGGGGAGCAAACAGG
RNAcentral lists this ribosomal RNA (253 nucleotides) under uncultured bacterium. RNAcentral describes it as "partial 16S ribosomal RNA". It matches the Rfam family "Bacterial small subunit ribosomal RNA", at positions 524 to 776 of the family's 1533-position model. The record is from RNAcentral.